AGAGUUUGAUCCUGGCUCAGAGCGAACGUUAGCGGCGCGCUUAAUACAUGCAAGUCGUACGAGAAAGGGGCCUUCGGGCUCCCGGAAAGUGGCGCACGGGUGCGUAACACGUGGGUAAUCUGCCCUCAGGCGAGGGAUAACUUCUCGAAAGGGAUGCUAAUACCGCAUAAGACCACGUCCGGUUCGCCGGACGAGGUAAAAGCUGGCCUCUGCUUGCAUGCUAGCACCUGAGGAUGAGCCUGCGGCCCAUCAGCUUGUUGGUAGGGUAACGGCCUACCAAGGUUAGGACGGGUAGCUGGUUUGAGAGGAUGAUCAGCCACACUGGCACUGAAACACGGGCCAGACUCCUACGGGAGGCAGCAGUAGGGAAUAUUGGACAAUGGGCGAAAGCCUGAUCCAGCGACGCCGCGUGGGUGAUGAAGGCCUUCGGGUUGUAAAGCCCUGUGGGGAGGAAAGAAAAAAGCGUGUUCAAAUAGGGCACGCUCUUGACGGUACCUCCUUAGCAAGCACCGGCUAACUCUGUGCCAGCAGCCGCGGUAACACAGAGGGUGCAAACGUUGCUCGGAAUUACUGGGCGUAAAGCGCGUGUAGGCGGA
Molecule: ribosomal RNA, 596 nt
Filed under: uncultured bacterium
Lineage: Bacteria
Description: bacterial SSU rRNA
Rfam family: Bacterial small subunit ribosomal RNA
Source: RNAcentral